CAGUCGCCACGGUAAUACAGAGGGUGCGAGCGUUAAUCGGAUUUACUGGGCGUAAAGCGUGCGUAGGCGGCUUCUUAAGUCGGAUGUGAAAUCCCUGAGCUUAACUUAGGAAUUGCAUUCGAUACUGGGAAGCUAGAGUAUGGGAGAGGAUGGUAGAAUUCCAGGUGUAGCGGUGAAAUGCGUAGAGAUCUGGAGGAAUACCGAUGGCGAAGGCAGCCAUCUGGCCUAAUUCUGACGCUGAGGUACGAAAGCAUGGGGAGCAAACAGGAUUAGAUACCCCGGUAGUCCCUGUCUCUUAUAC
This 301-nucleotide ribosomal RNA is filed under the name uncultured bacterium. RNAcentral's name for it is "partial 16S ribosomal RNA". It matches the Rfam family "Bacterial small subunit ribosomal RNA", at positions 509 to 807 of the family's 1533-position model. The record is from RNAcentral.